Long non-coding RNA from Lolium rigidum, 921 nucleotides. RefSeq lists it as uncharacterized. Lineage: Eukaryota; Viridiplantae; Streptophyta; Magnoliopsida; Poales; Poaceae. The record is from RefSeq and is a predicted model, not a curated record. The transcript has 5 exons.
CCUGGACAUUGGCGUUAAGAACCUCCGCUUGGUGCUGGUCCUCGCUAUCCGGAGCGCCUGGAGACAUGUGCCCCUGUUACGGCCACCAUGGUGCCUCCUCUCCUGUUGACCUGGGCUGCCUGCGCCCCUCCGCCUCACUCCCUGCCUCAAUGCCUCAGUCGCGAGCAACAACACAAGCAGCAAACGAGACCGGUGCUGGAUGUGGAGGACCUCCACCUUUGCGUCCAUGUCCUGCCUUCAUGGAGCUGCAGCCACCGUCGACGACCUUGUGGAAAACCUCCCCGAGCUGCGGCCAGCGGUGAUUUCCGCGGCCUGAUGCUGGCUUGACACCACCCCGUCCCACUGCUGUCGGCCACAUCCCAAACUUGCACCUGCUAGUUUGGCAACUAAAUAGAUUAGCCAUGGGCAAUGAGAAGACUCUCAGUAACAUCAUGGCCAUUUGCCAUGUUGACUCUGGGAAGGUGACCACCAUUGGCCAUAUGGUUUGAGAAGGAAGCCAUUGAGACCCGCCCUCUUUGCAGGUUCGCUCUUGGAGUGAAGCAGCUGCUAUAAUGUUUCUUACUAGAAAACCUUGUAUACUACUUGCAAGAAGAGGACCAAGAAUGGAUGCAUACAAUACAGGAAGAGAAAGUGACGCUGAAUUCUACUGUGAAGCUUCAAGUUUUCAAUAUGGUAAGGUAGCGGAACCAUGGCGUCCGCGUUCUGCCUUCAUGGAGCUGCAGCCACAGUCGACGACCUUCUGGAAUACCUCCCUGAGCUGCGGCUGCCGGUGAUUUCCGUGGCCUGCUGCUGCCUUGAGAUCACUCAGUCCCCACGCUGUUGGCCACAUCCCAAACUUGCAGCUGCUAGUUUGGCAACUAAACAGAUCAGCCAUGGGCAAGGAGAAGACUCAUGAAUAUCAUGGCCAUAUGUCAAGGUGAC